CCUACGGGAGGCAGCAGUGGGGAAUAUUGCGCAAUGGGCGAAAGCCUGACGCAGCGACGCCGCGUGAGGGAUGAAGGUCUUCGGAUUGUAAACCUCUUUCAGCAGGGACGAAGCGAAAGUGACGGUACCUGAAGAAGAAGCACCGGCUAACUACGUGCCAGCAGCCGCGGUAAUACGUAGGGUGCAAGCGUUGUCCGGAUUUAUUGGGCGUAAAGAGCUCGUAGGCGGUUAGACACGUCGGAUGUGAAAACUGGGGGCUUAACUCCCAGCCUGCAUUCGAUACGGUCUGACUAGAGUGUGGUAGGGGUAACUGGAAUUCCUGGUGUAGCGGUGAAAUGCGCAGAUAUCAGGAGGAACACCGAUGGCGAAGGCAGGUUACUGGGCCACCACUGACGCUGAGGAGCGAAAGCGUGGGGAGCAAACAGGAUUAGAUACCCUGGUAGUCCACGCCGUAAACGGUGGGCGCUAGAUGUGGGGACCAUUCCAUGGUUUCUGCGUCGCAGCUAACGCAUUAAGCGCCCCGCCUGGGGAGUACGGUCGCAAGACUAAAACUCAAAGGAAUUGACGG
Molecule: ribosomal RNA, 568 nt
Filed under: uncultured bacterium
Lineage: Bacteria
Description: bacterial SSU rRNA
Rfam family: Bacterial small subunit ribosomal RNA
Source: RNAcentral